UACUUAUCCAGAGAGGUAGAGGGACUGGCCCUAUGACACCUCAGCAGCGGGUUCUGUAAUAGGAACACCGUGCUAAUUCCAGCAAGCAAGUCUUGAAAGAUAAGUG
This is a non-coding RNA of Bacillus thuringiensis serovar israelensis ATCC 35646, 106 nucleotides long. NCBI's taxonomy places the organism in Bacteria, Bacillati, Bacillota, Bacilli, Caryophanales, Bacillaceae. The record is from Rfam.